RNAcentral lists this ribosomal RNA (781 nucleotides) under uncultured Neocallimastigales. RNAcentral's name for it is "partial large subunit ribosomal RNA". It matches the Rfam family "Eukaryotic large subunit ribosomal RNA", at positions 19 to 646 of the family's 3401-position model. Lineage: Eukaryota; Fungi; Neocallimastigomycota; Neocallimastigomycetes; Neocallimastigales. The record is from RNAcentral.
CGAGCACGCGCGUGUGGCAUAUCAAUAAGCGGAGGAAAAGGAACUAACAAGGAUUCCCCUAGUAACGGCGAGUGAAGCGGGAAGAGCUCAAAUUUGAAAUCUUAAAGGGUUUCCCUUUACGAAUUGUAGUUUAAAGAAGUGUUUUCUGUUGGAGUUUCGGUAAAAGUUCUUUGGAAUAGGACAUCAUAGAGGGUGAGAAUCCCGUAUUUGACCGUUACUUUCCAGCUUUGUGAUACACUUUCAAAGAGUCGGAUUGUUUGGGAAUGCAGUCCAAAAUGGGUGGUAAAUUUCAUCUAAAGCUAAAUAUUGGCGAGAGACCGAUAGCGAACAAGUACCGUGAGGGAAAGAUGAAAAGAACUUUGAAAAGAGAGUUAAACAGUACGUGAAAUUGUCAAAAGGGAAGCGUUUGACACCAGUGUUGUUUUUCGAAAAUCAAUUAAGAUAUGUUUCUAUUUUGAGGAGUAUUGACCUUAUCAGGCUUGCUUCUCUCUUUCUCGAAACUUAUUUAAUGCACUUUUCAGGUUAACAAGUCAACAUCAAUUUCUUUUGUUGUAAAAAGGGUAUGAGGAAGGUGGCUUUCUCUUCGGCGCAAGUGUUUAUAGCCUUGUACCCUCUGCAAUCGGAGAGAUUGAGGUCUGCAGCGUAGAUCCUUCGGGGUUAGAUACAUUUGUGCUAAGCUAUAGCCUUUUCAUAGACAACUUGUUGACUAUGCUCAGUCAUGUAGCUUACUCGCUUAUGCUAUUUUACCUACGCUUAGGAUGUUGAUGUGAUACUGCGAGCA